RNAcentral lists this ribosomal RNA (463 nucleotides) under uncultured bacterium. RNAcentral describes it as "partial 16S ribosomal RNA". It matches the Rfam family "Bacterial small subunit ribosomal RNA", at positions 28 to 506 of the family's 1533-position model. The record is from RNAcentral.
GACGAACGCUGGCGGCGUGCUUAACACAUGCAAGUCGAACGGUAAGGCCCUUUCGGGGGUACACGAGUGGCGAACGGGUGAGUAACACGUGGGUGAUCUGCCCUGCACUUUGGGAUAAGCCUGGGAAACUGGGUCUAAUACCGGAUAGGACUACGCGAUGCAUGUCGUGUGGUGGAAAGCUUUUGCGGUGUGGGAUGGGCCCGCGGCCUAUCAGCUUGUUGGUGGGGUGAUGGCCUACCAAGGCGACGACGGGUAGCCGGCCUGAGAGGGUGUCCGGCCACACUGGGACUGAGAUACGGCCCAGACUCCUACGGGAGGCAGCAGUGGGGAAUAUUGCACAAUGGGCGCAAGCCUGAUGCAGCGACGCCGCGUGGGGGAUGACGGCCUUCGGGUUGUAAACCCCUUUCAGCACAGACGAAGCGUAAGUGACGGUAUGUGCAGAAGAAACACCGGCCAACUACGU